CCUUUGACGUUAGCGGCGGACGGGUGAGUAACACGUGGGUAACCUACCUAUAAGACUGGGAUAACUUCGGGAAACCGGAGCUAAUACCGGAUAAUAUUUCGAACCGCAUGGUUCGAUAGUGAAAGAUGGUUUUGCUAUCACUUAUAGAUGGACCCGCGCCGUAUUAGCUAGUUGGUAAGGUAACGGCUUACAAAGGCGACGAUACGUAGCCGACCUGAGAGGGUGAUCGGCCACACUGGAACUGAGACACGGUCCAGACUCCUACGGGAGGCAGCAGCG
Molecule: ribosomal RNA, 279 nt
Filed under: uncultured Staphylococcus sp.
Lineage: Bacteria; Bacillati; Bacillota; Bacilli; Caryophanales; Staphylococcaceae
Description: partial 16S ribosomal RNA
Rfam family: Bacterial small subunit ribosomal RNA
Source: RNAcentral